GUCCUAUUAGAUUAUAAUUUUAGGUCUAGCCUGCCCACUGAAAUUUUAAAUGGCCGCGAUAUUUUGAUCGUGCUAAGGUAGCAUAAUAAUUAGUUUUUUAAUUGAAAGCUGGUAUGAAAGGUUGAAUGAGAAAAUAGCUGUCUCUUAUUAAUUUUAUUAGAAUUUUAUUUUUAAGUUAAAAAGCUUAAAUAUUAUUAAAAGACGAGAAGACCCUAUAGAGUUUAAUAAAAUAAUAUGAUUAGAUAUUUAUAGUAUAUAUUAAAUUUGAUUAUAAAUUUUAUUUAAUUGGGAUGAUUAAAAAAUUUAAUAAACUUUUUUUUUAUUAGAACAUUAAUUUAUGAUUAUUUGAUCCAUAUUUAGUGAUUAUAAGAUUAAAUUACCUUAGGGAUAACAGCGUAAUUUUUUUAUAGAGUUCAUAUCGAAAAAAAAGAUUGCGACCUCGAUGUUGGAUUAAAAUUAAUUUUUGGUGUAGAAGCUAGAAUAUUAGGUCUGUUCGACCUUUAAAAUUUUACA
RNAcentral lists this ribosomal RNA (513 nucleotides) under Timarcha scabripennis. Its description in RNAcentral is "partial 16S ribosomal RNA". The stretch from base 387 to 513 matches the Rfam family "Bacterial large subunit ribosomal RNA", at positions 2473 to 2600 of the family's 2925-position model. Lineage: Eukaryota; Metazoa; Arthropoda; Insecta; Coleoptera; Chrysomelidae. The record is from RNAcentral.